This 26-nucleotide transfer RNA is filed under the name Equus caballus (horse). Its description in RNAcentral is "partial transfer RNA-Thr". Lineage: Eukaryota; Metazoa; Chordata; Mammalia; Perissodactyla; Equidae. The record is from RNAcentral.
AGGGGGUACGUUCCUCCCAGGACUAU